AAAAAUAAGUGGGCAUGGUGGUCUUGCAUCGGAUUGCGAAGAGAGCGGUCUCCAUGAUCCCCGGCGGCAACGCCGGCUCCGUUCUCGGCAUCCACGUCUUCCACUGCCCGGACGCGGUGGGGAUCGUCGCCAAACUCUCGGAGUGCAUUGCGUCGAGGAGCGGAAACAUACACAGCGUGGAUGUCUUUGUCCCCGAGAAGAAGCAGGUCUUUUACUCGAGGAGUGAGUUUGUAUUCGAUCCUGCUCGUUGGCCUCGGGAUGUCGUGGACAAUGACUUCAACAAAAUAUCAAAGUUAUUCAGUGCAGAAAAAUCUGUUGUACGCGUCCCUGAUCUAGACCCUAAAUUUAAGAUUGCAGUUCUUGCUUCAAAGCAGGAACAUUGUUUGGUGGACUUGUUAUAUAGAUGGCAGGAGGGUAGACUUCCCGUGGACAUCAGUUGUGUAAUAAGCAAUCAUCAAAGAGCUCCUAAUACACAUGUUGCUCUCUUUCUUGAACGACAUGGGAUUCCAUAUCAUCACUUGCCAACAAGUGCUGGAAAUACAAGAGAAGCAGAGAUCCUGGAAUUGGUUGAAGAUACUGAUUUUCUUGUACUUGCAAGAUACAUGCAGGUACUAUCUAGAAGGUUUCUGGAGAGCUAUGGUAAAGAUAUAAUUAACAUUCAUCAUGGCCUUCUUCCAUCAUUUAAAGGAGGGAAUCCUUCGAAACAGGCUUUUGAUGCUGGGGUAAAAUUGAUUGGUGCAACAAGUCAUUUUGUAACUGAAGAGCUGGAUGCUGGUCCAAUUAUUGAACAAAUGGUAGAGAGAGUUUCUCACAGAGACACCUUAAAAAGUUUUGUGCAGAAAUCAGAGAAUCUCGAAAAGCAAUGUCUCACACAAGUGAUAAAAUCGUAUUGUGAACUUCGAGUGCUACCAUAUCAAGUAAACAAGACUGUUGUCUUCUGACAAGCUUCCUUAAACUUCCAUACUUAGAUCCCGAGGCUGAGAAGUUGUUACUAUGUUCAACUACAGCAAUACUUCAUCAUGCAUGGUAACACCAACUCCAUCUCUCUCUUCUUUGAUACACUUAAAUGUAUUUUGUGAAAGAGCAAAGUAGACACCAAUUUCUUUUCUCAAAGAAUCAUGAUAUGUCAAAAUGCUUUCUAAAUUCCUUUUUUAACCAGUGCUUGAGAUCAAUUUACUGACAUUCAUAUUGCCCACUCCAGUAGUAAUGAUGAUAUUAUUAUUGUCCCUCUUGACUGUUGCCCUAUUUAAUCCUUCAACCAGUCAAGAUUCAGAUCAGGUAUUCUUCAUUACUUGAGAUGCAGGUUUCAUCUAAUGAUAUUCCUCACAAGGAUAAAAGAGUACAUCUAAAAAUUUACAGAUGUAUUAUUAAUCUGCAAUCUGAAACUGCAGUGGAGCAUACAUCCUCCUGUUAUUAAGGUAAAGGUAAUGCAUAUCAAUCCUCUUACCAGUGCUAUAUCUUAAUUAGGAGGCACAUAUCUAAGCUGCUCUGCAAUAACUAUUGCAGAGAUCAAGUAGUUAUGUGAUCCACUUAUAAAGGUAUUAUAUACCAUCUUAAUCUGAAAUCUUAAGACUUGUAAGUAGAGAUGCAGCUUCCGAUAAACCUUUUCUGCGAGAAAGUGGAUCGAUUUUGUGGGAUGCUCUGUGUCUAUGUGAUCUGCUUAAACUGGAUUAGGCUGUGAGUAUGGGUAGAAUAAUGAGUAUUUUAAGGUUGAUUGAGUUUAGAUUGUAUUUAGAUAGCUUGUCGGGUUAAAGAACUGAUACGAUCAAUUACGUUUCCUCGAGACGGUUUCCCACGAAGCAACGCGGACGUCUGUUAGAGAGAGAAAGGACUGUGCUUCUAACACCUCACUCAGUCCAUGGAAGAAAGAGAGAAAGAUAGAGAAGAAGAAGAAGAAGACAGGAAAAGAGAACAUCGACCGAUGCGAUCGCUUGCACUUCCUGCUGUCAUUAAUUCCUCCAACGACCUCUUGUCCUCUUCCUCCAGCAUUCAGUCCUCACGGCAAUUCAGCCGUAAUUACUCUCUCUUUCUCUCCCUGGCCGAAGGAGAAGCUAAACGAGGACCAAAGGGAAGGUCUCCGUGAGGACGCGUAGAAAGAAUCAGAGCGUCAGCUUCUCCUGCUUCUGUUUCUGGCCUUGAGAGUUUCUCUUCAAAUGCACGAGGAAGGAGAGUAGGAAUGGGUGGAGAAGCUGUGCCCAUGGAGGUGACGAAUGCAGGGCGCGUGGAUUCUGUCUCUAAGGUGUCAUAUACUCGUGUUUCGCAUCUUGGGCGUUCUAAAAGUGCCUCUGAUAGAUACUUGGAGUUGACCAAAUCCAGACCAAGUGUAAGGGUUCCAUAAUAUUUUGAAUAUACUGAAGUCUCAUGGAAGCCAAAGUUCUUAUAAUCAAGAUUCAAGUGAGAGUGCCAGACAAACCACAUUAAACAGUCGAUAUUCCUUGGAAGAUGAUAUUAAACAACUUCAGAUGCAUUUGCAUCAAGAAAACUCGUUUUCUGCUGGAGAAGGCGAUUGGUUGAGCUUCCAGUACUUUUAUCUCCUGGGCAUAGACAUUUUUCUGCUCAG
Musa acuminata subsp. malaccensis (wild Malaysian banana) is the source of this 2560-nucleotide RNA transcript. It is a transcript of the gene named formyltetrahydrofolate deformylase 1, mitochondrial-like, with no coding region annotated. Lineage: Eukaryota; Viridiplantae; Streptophyta; Magnoliopsida; Zingiberales; Musaceae. The record is from RefSeq and is a predicted model, not a curated record.